AAAAAAUGUAUAUAUAUAUAGAAACAAGUAGAACAUAAAAACAGAAAUAAAUUUUAAAAACAUGUCAUAAAAGCUCAACGGAAAAAAAUAAAUAAAAAACAAUAGAAAUAUAUUAAUACUAAGUGUAUACAUACGCCUUAACUUUAAUAAAAUCAUACAUAAAGAGAAAUAAGAAUGGCCAUGAAAUCAAAACAACCCAAAGGCCAAACAAUAUACAUUACUAAACAUCAUUUACAAGUCAACUGGCUUUGUUAAAACAAAACUACACUCAAGUACAGACCUGUGACUAUUUGCAGUCAAAAGAAUAUUUCUAAAACUCAGAAUCAUUUUACAAAAGACCUGCAUGUAUAUUUUUGUUUGGUUUUGUUUAGAUUCUGCGGAAGACAUUUCUAACGGAAUUUCACAUUAAAAUUGAGGGAGCGAAAUUACCAAAUUACAACAAACAUAUAUAUAUUUACGUGUAAUUGGGGAAAAGAGACAGAAACGAG
This 488-nucleotide long non-coding RNA is filed under the name Mytilus galloprovincialis (Mediterranean mussel). Lineage: Eukaryota; Metazoa; Mollusca; Bivalvia; Mytilida; Mytilidae. The record is from RNAcentral.